RNAcentral lists this ribosomal RNA (253 nucleotides) under uncultured bacterium. Its description in RNAcentral is "partial 16S ribosomal RNA". It matches the Rfam family "Bacterial small subunit ribosomal RNA", at positions 524 to 776 of the family's 1533-position model. The record is from RNAcentral.
UACGGAGAGUGCAAACGUUGUUCAGAUUCACUGGGCGUAAAGGGCACGUAGGCGGCAAUUCAAGUCAGCUGUGAAAUCUCCGGGCUUAACUCGGAACGGUCAGCUGAUACUGCUUUGCUAGAGUGCAGAAGGGGCAAUCGGAAUUCUUGGUGUGGCGGUGAAAUGCGUAGAUAUCAAGAGGAACACCUGAGGUGAAGACGGGUUGCUGGGCUGACACUGACGCUGAGGCGCGAAAGCGUGGGGAGCAAACAGG